AGUUUUGAUCAUGGCUCAGAUUGAACGCUGGCGGGAUGCUUACACAUGAACGAACGGCAGCACGGACUUUCGGUCUGGUGGCGAGUGGCGAACGGGUGAGUAAUGUAUCGGAACGCCUAGUAGCGGGGAUAACUACGCGAAAGCGUAGCUAAUACCGCAGCCAGUUCUUCGGGGGAAAGCGGGGACCUUCGCUCCUGCACUAUUAGAGCGGCCGAUAAUGGAUUAGCUAGUUGCGGGGUAACGGCUCACCAAGGCGACGAUCCGUAGCUGGUUUGAGGACGACCAGCCACACUGGGACUGAGACACGGCCCAGACUCCUACGGAGGCAGCAGUGGGGAAUUUUGGACAAUGGGGGAAACCCUGAUCCAGCCAUCCCGCGUGCGAUGAAGGCCUUCGGGUUGUGAAAGCACCUUUUUGGCAGGAAAGAAACGGCACGGGAUAAUACCCCGUGCAACUGACGGUACCUGCAGAAUAAGCACCGGCUAACUAAUGCGCCAGCAGCCGCGGUAAUGUAGGUGCAAGCGUUAAUCGGAAUUACUGGGCGUAAAGCGUGCGCAGGCGGUUCGGAAAGAAAGAUGUGAAAUCCCAGAGCUUAACUUUGAACUGCAUUUAACUACCGAGCUAUGUGUCAGAGGGAGGUGGAAUUCCGCGUGUAGCAGUGAAAUGCGUAGAUAUGCGGAGGAACACCGAUGGCGAAGGCAGCCUCCUUGGGAUAACACUGACGCUCAUGCACGAAAGCGUGGGGAGCAAACAGGAUUAGAUACCCUGGUAGUCCACGCCCUAAACGAUGUCAACUAUUGCUGGGGCCUUCGGGCCUGGUAGCGCAGCUACGCGUGAAGUUGACCGCCUGGGGAGUACGGUCGCAAGAUUAAAACUCAGCGAAUUGACGGGGACCCGCACAAGCGGUGGAUGAUGGAUUAAUUCGAUGCAACGCGAAAAACCUUACUCACUCUUGACAUGUCUGGAAUCCCGAAGAGAUUUGGAGUGCUCAAGAACCGGAACACAGGUGCUGUAUGGCUGUCGUCAGCUCGUGUCGUGGAGAUGUUGGGUUAAGUCCGCAACGAGCGCAACCCUUGUCAUUAGUUGCUACGAAAGGGCACUCUAAUGAGAUUGCCGGUGACAAACCGGAGGAAGGUGGGGAUGACGCGUCCUCAAGGCCCUUAUGGGUAGGGCUUCACACGUCAUACAAUGGUCGGGACAGGGUCGCCAACCCGCGAGGGGGAGCCAAUCCCAGAAACCCGAUCACCGAACUGGAUCGCAGUUCGCAACUCGACUGGUAGUCGAAUCGCUAGUAAUCGCGGAUCAGCAUGUCGCGGUGAAUACGUUCCCGGUCUUGUACACACCGCCCGUCACACCAUGGGAGUGGGUUUUACCAGAAGUAGUUAGCCUAACCGUAAGGAGGGCGAUUACCACGGUAGGAUUCAUGACUGGGGUGAAGUCGUAACAAGGUAA
This 1452-nucleotide ribosomal RNA is filed under the name uncultured Bordetella sp. RNAcentral's name for it is "partial 16S-23S ribosomal RNA intergenic spacer". It matches the Rfam family "Bacterial small subunit ribosomal RNA". The record is from RNAcentral. Lineage: Bacteria; Pseudomonadati; Pseudomonadota; Betaproteobacteria; Burkholderiales; Alcaligenaceae.